RNAcentral lists this transfer RNA (99 nucleotides) under Chloroflexota bacterium. Its description in RNAcentral is "Chloroflexi bacterium tRNA-Sec". It matches the Rfam family "Selenocysteine transfer RNA". Lineage: Bacteria; Bacillati; Chloroflexota. The record is from RNAcentral.
GGGGGUGUAUGAGUCCCGGUGGGCUUCCCGGUCUUCAAAACCGGUGGCGGGUCGCACAGCGCGGGCCGCGGUGGGUUCGACUCCCAUACACUCCCGCCA